GAUGAACGCUGGCGGCGUGCCUAAUACAUGCAAGUCGAGCGAACAGACGAGGAGCUUGCUCCUCUGACGUUAGCGGCGGACGGGUGAGUAACACGUGGAUAACCUACCUAUAAGACUGGGAUAACUUCGGGAAACCGGAGCUAAUACCGGAUAAUAUAUUGAACCGCAUGGUUCAAUAGUGAAAGACGGUUUUGCUGUCACUUAUAGAUGGAUCCGCGCCGCAUUAGCUAGUUGGUAAGGUAACGGCUUACCAAGGCAACGAUGCGUAGCCGACCUGAGAGGGUGAUCGGCCACACUGGAACUGAGACACGGUCCAGACUCCUACGGGAGGCAGCAGUAGGGAAUCUUCCGCAAUGGGCGAAAGCCUGGCGGAGCAACGCCGCGUGAGUGAUGAAGGUCUUCGGAUCGUAAAACUCUGUUAUUAGGGAAGAACAAAUGUGUAAGUAACUAUGCACGUCUUGACGGUACCUAAUCAGAAAGCCACGGCUAACUACGUG
RNAcentral lists this ribosomal RNA (497 nucleotides) under uncultured bacterium. Its description in RNAcentral is "partial 16S ribosomal RNA". It matches the Rfam family "Bacterial small subunit ribosomal RNA", at positions 28 to 507 of the family's 1533-position model. The record is from RNAcentral.